This 253-nucleotide ribosomal RNA is filed under the name uncultured bacterium. Its description in RNAcentral is "partial 16S ribosomal RNA". It matches the Rfam family "Bacterial small subunit ribosomal RNA", at positions 524 to 776 of the family's 1533-position model. The record is from RNAcentral.
GACGUAGGAUGCAAGCGUUGUCCGGAUUUAUUGGGCGUAAAGAGUUCGUAGGUGGUUUGUUAAGUCUGAUGUUAAAGACUGGGGCUCAACCUCGGAAAUGCAUUGGAUACUGGCAGACUCGAGUGUGGUAGAGGCAAUCGGAAUUCCAGGUGUAGCGGUGAAAUGCGUAGAUAUCUGGAAGAACACCGGUGGCGCAAGCGGAUUGCUGGGCCUUACCUGACGCUGAGGAGCGAAAGCGUGGGGAGCGAACAGG